This is a long non-coding RNA of Monopterus albus (swamp eel), 1101 nucleotides long. RefSeq lists it as uncharacterized. The record is from RefSeq and is a predicted model, not a curated record. The transcript is spliced from 3 exons. NCBI's taxonomy places the organism in Eukaryota, Metazoa, Chordata, Actinopteri, Synbranchiformes, Synbranchidae.
AUUGCACUUGACUCUGGCACGCCAUUUCACACAUCAGCGACAAAAGCUAACCCUUGAGAAAAACAAAUGAGCCAAAAACAAAAGUCCACUGGAGAGCUUUUUCGGAAGGAACGAGUAAACAUUGGGACAGCAGAAGGGUCACAGACUGUCAGCAAAAAGAAAGCUGCAUUUAAAUGAAAAUACCACAAUUCCUACCCAAGUUACGGGUUCAUCGCAACAGGUGAUACACAAGCGCCGCAUAAGAGCUCCUGCAUAAUUUGCGGUGACCGACAAGCUAAUGAAGCCAUGAAACCCUCAAAAAUGCUCCACCACAUUGAGACAAAACACCCUGAGUUAAAUGACAAGCCCUUGGAAUUUUUUGAAAGAAAAAAACCUUAACAUGAACGACAAAAACAGUUAAUGAAGGCCACCACUUCAACAAACGUGUCUGCGCUGAAAACAUCAUUCUUAAUUACGGAGUAGACUGGAUAUACGGAACACAAUUCGAGUGUCACCGUCUCCCAUCACGCCCAGAUGGGACCAUCUAGUUGGAGGGAAACAAACCCAAGGCUCCCACUGACUCUGCAUUACGAGGAGCUGUGUUUAUCACCUAUUAAAGGUGGACAGUGUGCUGCAGGACGGAUGGAGAAUCAUUCCCAGACUAGUGAAAAGAAGAACAGCAGCUCUAUACAGUACCAGUGUGAUUACUUUGUAAAAAGGAUUAACUGAGACUCCAACCUACACUGAAUGUCUCCUACUAACCAGUGCUGUAUCAGAGCCUGAUGUGUCUUCUUCCUCUGUGCCGUGUAGCUUUGCUGUUAGACACAUGUGCACUGACAUGUUUCUUCAUUACCACAUACACUGUCAUUUACUCUGUCUUAUACAAACCUUCCGACCUGCCACAAUUACUAAUUAAAGUAGAGUAAUCCACCACUUAUAUCCCCAGCAAAUUCACUUUUUCUUUUGAUUGACAAAAACUACAGUGAUCUGCUCUUUUAGGAAAUUAUUAAGGCUUUUUUUUUUUUUAGUUUUCUGAACUGCUAAACCACCAAACCCCAUUCUCAGAACUGCCAAUACUCAUUUAUCGAAGGCAUCAUUCUUUUUGCAGGAUUCGGAUUCAAA